Molecule: long non-coding RNA, 685 nt
Organism: Saccoglossus kowalevskii
Lineage: Eukaryota; Metazoa; Hemichordata; Enteropneusta; Harrimaniidae
Source: RefSeq, a predicted model, not a curated record
UAGACGACGUACGCUAAGUCAACUUCGUUCACUUGGUUGUUGAUAGUUAGACAUUCAAGCUGUUUGAAGGAACAACUUCUCAUAUUUGAUAUUCUGUUGUUGACGACCAACCGGAUCAGAUAACAUCAUGUCUGACAGAAAAGCUGUGAUCAAGAAUGCGGACAUGUCCGAGGAAAUGCAGCAGGAUGCAGUUGACUGUGCAACUCAAGCUCUUGAAAAAUUCAACAUUGAGAAAGACAUUGCUGCAUUUAUUAAGAAGGAAUUCGACAAAAAGUACAACCCAACCUGGCAUUGCAUCGUCGGACGCAACUUUGGCAGCUACGUGACACACGAGACGAAGCAUUUCAUCUAUUUCUACCUUGGCCAAGUUGCAAUCCUUCUCUUCAAAUCCGGAUAAACAAGACACUACCUUAGCCAAAUUUUGUUAAGCAAGGAAAAACUACAAAAAAAAGACUGUUAACAGAUUUUUAUAUAUUUUAUGUAUAAAUAUUAAGCUUUUUUUUCAAAACUGAUGACUAAAGUAGCCAUCAAAAUAUGUAUGGUUAUUUUCACGUCUCUGACUAGAAGUGAUGUAUAUAUGUACUUACCUCAAACAAGGAAUCUUGAUGAAAGCUGUGAAAUGCUUGUAACAUUGUAGCAAGAUAUGACAGACACAAAAUAAAAGUGCUAAUUAUAUUGAACUAAA